Brassica rapa (field mustard) is the source of this 3178-nucleotide long non-coding RNA. RefSeq lists it as uncharacterized. NCBI's taxonomy places the organism in Eukaryota, Viridiplantae, Streptophyta, Magnoliopsida, Brassicales, Brassicaceae. The record is from RefSeq and is a predicted model, not a curated record.
AGAAUUUGUAUUACAUUUGAAAUCAUUGAAGCAAGAGUUAUGUAUGUGAGAGAAGUAUCCAAUAAUUAAAAGUGUAUCGUAUAGCUUUACGAGUAAGGAGUAGAAAAAUGAAAAUAAAGGUAAGAGAAAGAGAGAAUGGUUACUGAAAAUUUGAAUAAAGUACGAAGAAAGUGCAGCGUCGCAUCUUAAUCACGACCGUCAGAUUUGGGUCCCUCUUUCAUAGUGUACGGAUACAUAAACAAUGGUGAUUAACAAAAAAAAAGACUAAUUAAUUAUUACCGUUUUGAUCAAAAAAUAAUAAUAAUAAUAAUAAUUAUUACCGUUUAUUUAAGAAAUUUAAUUACCUCGUCGGGAGUGUAAAAUUAGAUAAAAAUAAAUUAUCUCGGGCUUUGUCGCACGUACAUUGGGUUAAUCGCUAGAAAGGGUAAAUAAAUAGGAUAAGCCAUAUGACGAGAAUAUCCUCAGUAGCGAAAGAAGGGUGAAACUGUCAAUUAACAUAGAAACAGUGUAUUAUGAUGGAUGGGCUUUGCACUGUCUCAGCAUGGACUAGAUAAGUCUGUGACAGAUCCAAUAGUGUAUUUGCUCCUCAUUGAUCGAAUCUCAUAUUCUGAUACGAUCAUGACCGUUAGUCCACUUUGACCAAUUAUAUGAUUUUUGCUACCUUUGCUUUUUGUAUGUAUUUUUUCCCAUUUUUAGUGGUUUAGUAAUUAGUACCCUUUUUUUAUUUUUCCACUGAAGUAAGUAUUAUUAGUACCAUUCUCAAUUCUUUCCUUGGAAAAUAGUGUAUUAUUUGGUUCAAACAUUUCGGCAUAGAGAAGCAUGAAGCCUGUAAUAAACAAAAGAAAGAGGUAAUUAGGAAAAAAACAACGAUUGUGAAAACGCCGUGGUCUAAUGGUUAAGGUUUAAAGGUUUUUACACCCAGGUCGACAAUGCAAUUUUUACAAGAAAAUGUUUGGGUUUCAAUUCUCGGAAAAGGCGAAUUACGCGUAAAAUUAGAGAAAAUGGUUACAAAAGAUCUUUGGCAUGGCGCAAGGAGUAUCGUCAGAAAUGGAUCUCAUAAGGCUAUUCAGGGUGAUGCAGUCAGGCGUGAAUCCUCAUAAGACAUGUAGAAUUGUCUGUUGUAAUAUCGUAUAUAUAAUGUUUUAUAAAUGAAUCUCAUAGGGCUAUUAAGGGUGAUGCAGUCAGGCGUGAAUCCUCAUAAGACAUGUAGAAUUGUCUGUUGUAAUAUCGUAUAUAUAAUGUUUUUUAUAAUUUGUAAUAACAAAAUUAAACAGAAAAAAAAAAACAAAAGAAAGAGGUAAUUAGGAAAAAAAACAACGAUUGGAGGAGAGUCAGACGGAGAACGGGAGAAGUGAUGAGCUGAGUUGUCUUGCACGUAAUACGUGAGGAUUAUCAUUUAAUUAGUGUCGUCAGAAAAAGGAACCUAGUUAAUUAAUUGGAUAUUAGUGGUCAUUGGUUCUUUAAUAAUCAACUGAUUAUUUAUUUGUAAGAUAUGACUAGAAUAAUAAUCCCACGCAUGGCUCCCCCCGCGAAUCUCUCCUCUUCUCCUUCGGUUUCGAACUGAAACUAGCUUGCACUUUGCUGUAUGAGUAUUAAUUAUCCCCGUAAUUAUUUAAAAAUAUUCUUUAGCAACACCAAAUCUGACUGCGAACAAAAAUCAAGCGUGUGUAUAUGUACGCAUGUGUCUAAGUACAAGGCACGUUAUAAUGGUUUGUGUAAGCACCUGUGUGUAAGAUAGAUGAUGAGUGAUAAUGCGAUUAGUGAAGAGGUGGUGUACAAGUAAAGUGGCACGUGAUAAAAAGCUAACAUGGAUUAUGUUGAUAACCUCACCAUUAGUGGAAGCCAUCCUUUUUCGCCUUUUUCACUUUUAUUUGAUGAUAUUUGAUUGUUCUCUUCUCUACAUCUUUUUAUAAUUUGUCAAAAUCUGUAUACCUAAUCUUUGCUUCUUUUUUGUUGUCAACAAUAUCUCUGCUUUCUAUGUUUUACAAAAAAAAAAAAAUCUCUGCUUUCUAAUUUAUCAAACUCGUGUUCCUCCGAACCACGAUCUUGAUUAUAACAUUUGCCGCUUUUAUUUUUGCUUUUUCUCUGUAUUAAUUUAUGGGAGAUUUUGGUGUAUAUUCAAAAUAGAGAAGGGAAUGAAGAAUAUACCGCUGAUUUUGACAUAAUGAAAUCGAUGACAAUUAGCCCAAUAAAGGCCCGGUUUUGCCCCUUUGCAGUACAAGUUCCCGGUUACCGCGAGCGAAGGAGAGGACUGCUGUGUUUCAUAUGGUAUAGUAAUCUUCGCUGUGUUUGAAAUGGUAUAUACGUGUGUACCUGAUAUUUUACAGAAGAUACGUUACAGUUGUAAAAAUCGCAUACAGUAUUACGGUUUUCAGUAAAAACAUGUGGACACUAGUUGAUACAAGUAUUCCAUUUUCACCUAACCACGUGCUAAAAUUCGAUGGUAUGGAAAUGAGUGGCCUGUAAACUAUUUACCAUCACAUCAUCACCAGAAGGCAACGUCACCAACGUAUUUACCGCAUACGUUGGCACGGUGAUCAGUAAAAACGUGUGGAUAAUAAGUGGUGAUGUUCUCAAUAUAUGUGUAUUCUAUUUACUCCAACCUGUUAAUCUAUCUCUGUAACAAAAGACACUGAAGAAGAUAAACACAAAGAAGAAGUUAAUGCUUGACUGAAGAAGGUGAACACAGAGAAGAAGUUAAUGCUUAACCGCAUCGAUCAGAUGGAUGGACAAGAUAUGGUUUUACUUGUACUUGGGACAUGGAUCCGUGACGCAGACAGACGUUGGAUCUUUGAACCCGACAUAGGGUGCACACGUGAGGAGUACAUUCGCCUACACACUCAGAUGAAGCUGGUGGAGCUGCAGAUAGUAAACCCUAACCGGUAUAGAUAAUCUGGAAAACUAAACCCUAAAAUGAAAAUAGUAAACCCAAACCAGAUGUGUAAGAACUAUACUAUUUAUCACUAACAAGUGAUCCAUAAACUGUGGUUGUUCUAUUCUACUUGGUGAGAGUGAACCAUACUAUAUAAGUACUGUCAAACAAUAACAACAAUCCUCAACACAAUUCAAUCGAAAUCAGACUACUACUGUACUACACAAACAACAUAAACCAAAUAAUAGACCCAAACCAAAUCUGGAAAACUAAACCCUAAAAUGAAAAUAGUAAACCCAAACCAGA